ACUCCUACGGGAGGCAGCAGUGGGGAAUAUUGGACACUGGGCGCAAGCCUGAUCCAGCCAUGCCGCGUGAGUGAUGAAGGCCCUAGGGUUGUAAAGCUCUUUCACCGGUGAAGAUAAUGACGGUAACCGGAGAAGAAGCCCCGGCUAACUUCGUGCCAGCAGCCGCGGUAAUACGAAGGGGGCUAGCGUUGUUCGGAUUUACUGGGCGUAAAGCGCACGUGGGCGGACUAUUAAGUCAGGGGUGAAAUCCCGGGGCUCAACCCCGGAACUGCCUUUGAUACUGGUAGUCUUGAGUUCGAGAGAGGUGAGUGGAAUUCCGAGUGUAGAGGUGAAAUUCGUAGAUAUUCGGAGGAACACCAGUGGCGAAGGCGGCUCACUGGCUCGAUACUGACGCUGAGGUGCGAAAGCGUGGGGAGCAAACAGGAUUAGAAACCCUGGUAGUCCCAUGA
This 449-nucleotide ribosomal RNA is filed under the name uncultured organism. Its description in RNAcentral is "partial 16S ribosomal RNA". It matches the Rfam family "Bacterial small subunit ribosomal RNA", at positions 335 to 800 of the family's 1533-position model. The record is from RNAcentral.